CGCGUGGAUCUGUCACACAUUA
RNAcentral lists this microRNA (22 nucleotides) under Schistosoma japonicum. Its description in RNAcentral is "miRNA-3044". Lineage: Eukaryota; Metazoa; Platyhelminthes; Trematoda; Strigeidida; Schistosomatidae. The record is from RNAcentral.